RNAcentral lists this ribosomal RNA (255 nucleotides) under uncultured bacterium. Its description in RNAcentral is "partial 16S ribosomal RNA". It matches the Rfam family "Bacterial small subunit ribosomal RNA", at positions 524 to 776 of the family's 1533-position model. The record is from RNAcentral.
GACGUAGGGCGCGAGCGUUGUCCGGAUUUAUUGGGCGUAAAGAGCUCGUAGGCGGUUUGUCGCGUCGGAUGUGAAAACCCAGGGCUCAACCCUGGGCCUGCAUUCGAUACGGGCAGACUAGAGUAUGGCAGGGGAGACUGGAAUUCCUGGUGUAGCGGUGAAAUGCGCAGAUAUCAGGAGGAACACCGGUGGCGAAGGCGGGUCUCUGGGCCAAAACUGACGCUGGAGGAGCGAAAAGCGUGGGGAGCGAACAGG